Molecule: long non-coding RNA, 1565 nt
Filed under: Salmo salar (Atlantic salmon)
Lineage: Eukaryota; Metazoa; Chordata; Actinopteri; Salmoniformes; Salmonidae
Description: lncRNA (ENSSSAG00000109753.1, ENSSSAG00000117220.1)
Source: RNAcentral
AUUGCAGUGACUCAAAUCUGUGUAGCCUAUCAAUGUGAGCCUAACUAAUUCAGAUAAACAGGAGUUAUUUUUCUCUACCUUUUUUUAACAUUACAAGUCACAAUAGAAAUUGAUAAUAGAUUUAACUAUUUAAAAUACAACACAGCGCCCCAUGGCCCCUUCUGUUAUGGGUGUAAGAUGGCACAGUGAUGCCAUCUGUUGGUAAAUGUUAAUUACUGCAACUCCAGUGUUUUUUACCGGUGUGCUUGAAAUACCCGGAUGUAUUGCAAUAUACGGAACAAGACUGGUUACUCGCAUCAACGCCUCUGUCUCGUCAUUUAACAUUCAAACACCUUCUGUUCGGUUUUCAUCCGUUUCUUUCUUGUUAAGCAUUUCCCCAUUCUUGAGUCAGACCUUAUGGGAAUGUGUGGGACAGAAGAGGAAUUUAUGACAAUUUAGCAUAGACAAUAGCUACAGUACUCUACUCUCACCAUGUCUACCAUUUAGGUUUAGCUAGUUAUGUUAUCCACUGCUAGCUAAUAACUUGCUAACACUAAUAGCUAGCUACCACAGAUGACAUUUUUAUAAUAAACUAGUAAGUUCGUCUUAAAAUUGGAACCACUAAUUUUAGUGUGCUGACAAAGGAUGAUAGUUAGCUAAUUUACCAGCUACCUAACUAGAGACUGAACAUGAGUUCAAAGGUUAGAUAGCUAGCUAGCUACCACGCUAAUCCCAAAAAACAUUCUAAACAAAUUGCAUGGAAUAUCAUGUCGAUGUUCGCUAACUAGCUAGCAAAUGUGAUCUAUUUAGCUAUAUCAUGCCAAGGAUUAUCUCGUGUUAAAACGUCUAGCAGAACGUCUAUAUUGAAAAAUACGUUUUAAAAUUGACCUAAUGCUAGCUAGCUAACGUUUCCUAGCCAGCUACUAUAGGUAGGACAGAGGUGCUAGUUGAGCAGCGGUGCUAAAUCCAGCAGAACUUCUGUAUUCAAAGGUGAAACAAAUUGCAUAGCGAAUUCACCCUCUCUACCCUGUAUCCUUUGAACAACGUUUUUGUCACGCAAUCUCUUGUCUGGACUUUGAACACUUCUCAUAGCCACGUUCAUCCUGAUUAUUUACGAUGCACUGUCACAUGAUGUGAACACCGAGACAGAGGCAUGAUAUGAGUUUGACCAAUCAGAAGAACUAGGAUGAAGACGAGGCCACAUAGUACAUGACUGGAUAGAGCCUUCUGAAAUGCAACAAGCACAAUGGCUCAUGCCCCAAGUAAUGAGGAGGCCCUGACAAGUCUGGCUGAGCAACCAGUAGGCAUGUCCAGAGUAGACGACAGAGGAUGGAUCCCACUACAUGAGGCCGCAGUACAGGAGAAGAAAAGUAUUCUGGUGAUCGUUUUCUCAGCCUCCCCCAGGGUGCAGGGCAGUGCCGGACUCUGAAGGGAGAAAUGCCUCUCUUCCGGGAGAAUGCUACAUUCCUGCUACAGAACGGAUGCUGUCCUGACCUCCAGAACGAUGAUGAGGAAUCUCCGCUCGUGGCAGGACAAAUGACCCAACACACCUCCAGGCUGUGUAAGGGCUAUUUAACCAAGAAGGG